UGAAGCAUGUGACCCUAGGGGAGCCGGGGGCGGGGGAGGAGUCUCUCUAAACUGCCUUGGCUUCACUGAGGUUUGCAGGCAAAGAGAAUGAAUGCCAGAGAUCAGGGAGCAGAAAGGGCCCAUUCAUGGAGGGCUCAACAAGGCGAAGCGACGCCCUGCCUUGCUAAACUCCCGAGACUCAAGAGUCCUGGGCUCCCAGCUCGCCUGCAGCCACGCAGGGGUCUUCAUGCCUCCGUAUGGAUUUCCUUUGGCAGAGAUAUUAAAGCAGUUUACCACUU
Sarcophilus harrisii (Tasmanian devil) is the source of this 278-nucleotide long non-coding RNA. RefSeq lists it as uncharacterized. The record is from RefSeq and is a predicted model, not a curated record. The transcript is spliced from 2 exons. NCBI's taxonomy places the organism in Eukaryota, Metazoa, Chordata, Mammalia, Dasyuromorphia, Dasyuridae.